GAAAUGCGAUAAGUAAUGUGAAUUGCAGAAUUCAGUGAAUCAUCGAAUCUUUGAACGCACCUUGCGCUCCUUGGUAUUCCGAGGAGCAUGCCUGUUUGAGUGUCAUUUAAUUCUCAACCCCACCAGCUUUGUGCAGCUGGCUUGGUGGCUUGGAUAAUGGGGGUUUCUUGCGGGCCUCUCUCCUUUGAGGUCAGCUCCCCUGAAAUGCAUUAGCGGAACGGUUUGCAGUCCUGUCACUAGCGUGAUAAACUAUCUACGCUAACACAUGAUAGGUUGCUCUCUGAUAGUUCAGCUUCUAACUGUCCCAUUUCAUGGACAACCAUGUGUGCAUACACAACUUUGACACUUGACCUCAAAUCAGGUAGGACUACCCGCUGAACUUAA
Molecule: unclassified non-coding RNA, 384 nt
Filed under: uncultured Agaricaceae
Lineage: Eukaryota; Fungi; Basidiomycota; Agaricomycetes; Agaricales; Agaricaceae
Description: sequence contains ITS1
Rfam family: 5.8S ribosomal RNA (bases 1-105)
Source: RNAcentral